AAAAGGAUUUAUACUGAAAAACAAUUUUAAAUAAAGGCAACUCCAUUCUCAGAGGGUUUGGGCUCUUCUUUUUCUUCAACAGAUGGACACUGAAGAGCAUGACAAGCAAUCCCCAAAGUGAUGACUUCAAAGACCCUGACAAAGCCUGAAACUUGAAAUCACUCCAAGGACUCUUUGGCUUUCUUUCUCUUGGGUUGUCUACUGGAUGCCACCACCCCCACCAGUUGAAAGGUAAAACAUUAAUAAAUAAUUAAUUUAAUUGUAUACUUUAUACAGGAUGACUUUUUCCCCCAUGAUUUACCAACUAUUGACAGCUGUGAUAAUUUAGAUCUAACUCUGAAGAACUUCAUAAACCCUUCACUACUGGAUAAAUGUUGCAUUUUCUCUGUUUUCCAAAGGGAAGAAUCAAAACAGAAACAGUGAAACCUAAAAAUCUUAAGCCAUGACCAGGAGUCACUUUUAAAUCCCCGCGGAGAGAAUACCUUUAAGAACAGCUGGAAGGAACCAACUGCCAAAUUUCAACUGGCACUGAGAUUUCUGAACUUCGUAUAUGAACAUUCUGUCCCAGCAAAGAGUGAAUAUGUACCUAUGCCACAUUUCUGAAAUGAAUGAUUCCUCAUGUCAGAAAUCGUAUUGCUAGGAUGUGGUGGACGGGAAACCGCGCGAGGACUCUGCAGGCCUGGGUCCCAUCUGACUACAGUGCUCUCGUCUGUCAACCUCUGUCAAGCUCAGUGUUGCCCUCUCGCAGAUGCAGAUCUGAGCCCGCAGCCGCCGUGGCAGGUGGGUGGCGUGUGCGUGUCCUGGAGCCCACGCCCCGCGCGUCGGGUGCAAGCGGCCCCACUGCUCACACGCCUUGCCCUCGGCGUCUCCUCAGCCAGUGAAUCUUCGGGAGCUUCCAAAAUUUUAGAGUAUUGCAAACCAUCCAAUAUUUUGCUCAGAAA
RNAcentral lists this long non-coding RNA (941 nucleotides) under Vulpes vulpes (red fox). RNAcentral describes it as "lncRNA (ENSVVUG00000000344.1)". The record is from RNAcentral. Lineage: Eukaryota; Metazoa; Chordata; Mammalia; Carnivora; Canidae.